UUUAGAUUUUCUGAGAAAGUCAUAUCAUAAUGACUACAACGGAAUUACAUUAACUGUCAUUUCAGGAAUUUUGUAGAAGCUAUUUACGGUCUGAGCAUUGUCGAAUGAAAAUGUGAAAGUCUACUUCUCAUGUGAAUUCUAUCUAAAAUGUACCUGGUUUUAAAGGAUUAGCAGCUUUCAAUGAAUAGUAUAAAUUCACAUCAUAGAUUCAACAACUGAAACUCCCACGAAGCAGUUUUCAACAUGGAUAAACCAGAAAAGAAGAUAAAAAAGAGCAAAACUGAUGGUAAUACAAGGAGAAUAAGCUUGGAGACAAUAAACAAGGAGAAUAAAAGGAAUUUUUUUUACAGCCAAACUAAUGGUAAUACUAGAAGAAUAAGCUUGCUAUUACAAAUAAGAGCGAACAGGAAAAUUCCUUCGGGGACGUCUUAUGAUGCAGUCCAUUUUAUUACCUGUAUACUAACACUCAAGCGCUCAUCCUGUAUCUCUUUCUUUUUCUCGCUCAUACACAGAUCUUAACUCUCUAAAUUAUUUAAACAAUUAUGGUCUUGAGAAUGAACUGUUAAAAAUCUUCAUUUCCUUUAAAUAGAGAAAUGCUACAUAAAAAAAUAAAAUUACAGUUUUGAAAAAAGAAUGACAGUUAAAAAUUAUUCAGCGAAG
Molecule: long non-coding RNA, 660 nt
Organism: Argiope bruennichi
Lineage: Eukaryota; Metazoa; Arthropoda; Arachnida; Araneae; Araneidae
Exons: 3
Source: RefSeq, a predicted model, not a curated record